GGGGCCUGGAAAGUCUCCAGACUUCAGCCUCUAAAGAAAUAAGGGACUUCCUCGCCGAGGGGUCUUCACAAAAGAGUGAUCCACGGUGGUUAGAUGCCUGAAAUGUCCUGUAAGGUGGGUGCCUGGGACUUACUGCUGUCUGACGUCUGUUGUGUUCACCUCGUGCCUCCUGAAGUGUGGAAGGAUCCAGAGCCCUCGCAGAAACUUCUGGCAGCUGAGCUAGAAGUUUCUCUCGAACUGCAACACGGCCCACAGGGCCCCUUCACUACUGCCGGCCGGGCUGGGCUGGAGUGCCUUGCCCAGGAGAGGCUGCCCAGUGUGCCUGGGCCCCAACCCCCACAGACCAGGAGCUCUGCAAUUCUCCUGGAGAGCGAGCCCAACUGUGUCGAUUGCAACAAGAGC
This 402-nucleotide long non-coding RNA is filed under the name Equus caballus (horse). Its description in RNAcentral is "lncRNA (ENSECAG00000059413.1)". The record is from RNAcentral. Lineage: Eukaryota; Metazoa; Chordata; Mammalia; Perissodactyla; Equidae.